GAUAAACGCUGGCGGCGUGCCUAAUACAUGCAAGUCGAGCGAACGGACGAGAAGCUUGCUUCUCUGAUGUUAGCGGCGGACGGGUGAGUAACACGUGGAUAACCUACCUAUAAGACUGGGAUAACUUCGGGAAACCGGAGCUAAUACCGGAUAAUAUUUUGAACCGCAUGGUUCAAAAGUGAAAGACGGUCUUGCUGUCACUUAUAGAUGGAUCCGCGCUGCAUUAGCUAGUUGGUAAGGUAACGGCUUACCAAGGCAACGAUGCAUAGCCGACCUGAGAGGGUGAUCGGCCACACUGGAACUGAGACACGGUCCAGACUCCUACGGGAGGCAGCAGUAGGGAAUCUUCCGCAAUGGGCGAAAGCCUGACGGAGCAACGCCGCGUGAGUGAUGAAGGUCUUCGGAUCGUAAAACUCUGUUAUUAGGGAAGAACAUAUGUGUAAGUAACUGUGCACAUCUUGACGGUACCUAAUCAGAAAGCCACGGCUAACUACGUGCCAGCAGCCGCGGUAAUACGUAGGUGGCAAGCGUUAUCCGGAAUUAUUGGGCGUAAAGCGCGCGUAGGCGGUUUUUUAAGUCUGAUGUGAAAGCCCACGGCUCAACCGUGGAGGGUCAUUGGAAACUGGAAAACUUGAGUGCAGAAGAGGAAAGUGGAAUUCCAUGUGUAGCGGUGAAAUGCGCAGAGAUAUGGAGGAACACCAGUGGCGAAGGCGACUUUCUGGUCUGUAACUGACGCUGAUGUGCGAAAGCGUGGGGAUCAAACAGGAUUAGAUACCCUGGUAGUCCACGCCGUAAACGAUGAGUGCUAAGUGUUAGGGGGUUUCCGCCCCUUAGUGCUGCAGCUAACGCAUUAAGCACUCCGCCUGGGGAGUACGACCGCAAGGUUGAAACUCAAAGGAAUUGACGGGGACCCGCACAAGCGGUGGAGCAUGUGGUUUAAUUCGAAGCAACGCGAAGAACCUUACCAAAUCUUGACAUCCUUUGACAACUCUAGAGAUAGAGCCUUCCCCUUCGGGGGACAAAGUGACAGGUGGUGCAUGGUUGUCGUCAGCUCGUGUCGUGAGAUGUUGGGUUAAGUCCCGCAACGAGCGCAACCCUUAAGCUUAGUUGCCAUCAUUAAGUUGGGCACUCUAAGUUGACUGCCGGUGACAAACCGGAGGAAGGUGGGGAUGACGUCAAAUCAUCAUGCCCCUUAUGAUUUGGGCUACACACGUGCUACAAUGGACAAUACAAAGGGCAGCGAAACCGCGAGGUCAAGCAAAUCCCAUAAAGUUGUUCUCAGUUCGGAUUGUAGUCUACAACUCGACUACAUGAAGCUGGAAUCGCUAGUAAUCGUAGAUCAGCAUGCUACGGUGAAUACGUUCCCGGGUCU
RNAcentral lists this ribosomal RNA (1372 nucleotides) under uncultured bacterium. RNAcentral's name for it is "bacterial SSU rRNA". It matches the Rfam family "Bacterial small subunit ribosomal RNA", at positions 28 to 1381 of the family's 1533-position model. The record is from RNAcentral.